UGAUAAUGACUUUAUAAUUUAUAUUAAAAAUAUUCUUCAAAAAAUAUUCUUAAAAAAUAAUAUAUUAAUAAAAAAGUACAAAACAUAAAUAAGUGAGUGCUAUCGGUUCUCAUGUAUUUGAAACUUUUGAAUUUUAUCUUAAAUUGUAAGUGAUAUUUUUAACUUAUUUUUAAUUUUUACAAUUAAUAUUGUUAACUAUAUAUAUAUAUAUAUAUAAUAUUAUUAAAAAUUAUUAAUUUAUAUUUUAUAAAAUAUUAAUAAUAUGCUGAAGACGGGUUGCUAGGCGGGAUGGAUUAUGAGAAAUAUUUUUAAUCCGCCAUAAAUUCAGAGCGAGAGGAGUGACGAAAUUUUGGUAGUCGGUG
This 362-nucleotide long non-coding RNA is filed under the name Ananas comosus (pineapple). Its description in RNAcentral is "long non-coding RNA (ACOM_LNC031367)". The record is from RNAcentral. Lineage: Eukaryota; Viridiplantae; Streptophyta; Magnoliopsida; Poales; Bromeliaceae.